Molecule: non-coding RNA, 295 nt
Organism: Pelobates cultripes (western spadefoot toad)
Lineage: Eukaryota; Metazoa; Chordata; Amphibia; Anura; Pelobatidae
Source: the annotation of a GenBank genome assembly
AUUAAUAUGUAUAGCUCGGGGGGGAGAAGGGAGAGGGGGAUAUGAUAAAACAGACUGAAAGCCAUUAAUAUGUAUAGCUUGGGGGGGAGAACGGAGAGGGGGAUAUGAUAAAACAAACUGAAAGCCAUUAAUAUGUAUAGCUCGGGGGGGAGAAGGGAGAGGGGGAUAUGAUAAAACAGACUGAAAGCCAUUAAUAUGUAUAGCUUGGGGGGGAGAAGGGAGAGGGGAUAUGAUAAAACAGACUGAAAGCCAUUAAUAUGUAUAGCUCAGGGGGAGAGGGGAGAGGGGGAUAUGA